RNAcentral lists this long non-coding RNA (288 nucleotides) under Panax ginseng (ginseng). Its description in RNAcentral is "long non-coding RNA (PGIN_LNC009367)". Lineage: Eukaryota; Viridiplantae; Streptophyta; Magnoliopsida; Apiales; Araliaceae. The record is from RNAcentral.
UCGGGGGAUAGCUCAGGCGUGAAAAUUAGUAUGUGUUCACAAGGUUAACGAUGGAGGAAUGUAUUGUCUAGUGUUUCUUAGAGAGAUAAUAAUUCUCAAUUGUGUAUAUGGGAGAAUCCGAAAAAUCAAUAUGUGUGAGAACGUACCUCUAGGCGAUGGCUUCCUUGCUAGGUUAUACUAUCUUUGUCUGGAUUACUGUGCCACCCACUACUACCUGACACCCCCUCUGAUCUGAUGGGUUCUGCCGACUGCAUGGAACUUAUCCACUACUUUUGGCCACUGUUUUCU